Molecule: ribosomal RNA, 407 nt
Filed under: uncultured bacterium
Lineage: Bacteria
Description: bacterial SSU rRNA
Rfam family: Bacterial small subunit ribosomal RNA
Source: RNAcentral
UGGGGAAUCUUGGGCAAUGGGGGAAACCCUGACCCAGCGACGCCGCGUGAGGGAAGAAGGUCUUCGGAUUGUAAACCUUUGUGACAGGGGACGAAGGAAGUGACGGUACCCUGUGAGGAAGCCCCGGCUAACUACGUGCCAGCAGCCGCGGUAAUACGUAGGGGGCGAGCGUUGUCCGGAAUUACUGGGCGUAAAGGGCGCGUAGGCGGUUGAAUAAGUCUGUUGUGAAAUUCCAAGGCUUAACUUUGGCAGUGCAAUGGAAACUGUUCGACUUGAGUACGGCAGAGGCAAGUGGAAUUCCCAGUGUAGCGGUGAAAUGCACAGAGAUUGGGAGGAACACCAGUGGCGAAGGCGACUUGCUGGGCCGAAACUGACGCUGAGGCGCGAAAGCGUGGGGAGCAAACAGG